Molecule: long non-coding RNA, 427 nt
Filed under: Volvox carteri
Lineage: Eukaryota; Viridiplantae; Chlorophyta; Chlorophyceae; Chlamydomonadales; Volvocaceae
Description: long non-coding RNA (VCAR_LNC004119)
Source: RNAcentral
UAAUUCUCAUGUUCCCAUCCACGUGCUGCACGUGCAGCAGGCCUCGGACGAUGGGGAUGACGUCCAGCCGGGAAUGGAGGUAAGAUGGGGGGGAGGGUCAGGGCUCUUAUGUGUUUUACGUGGGGCAUCAAAAUGCUGUCGUACUCCGAUAUGGCUAUCGGAGUACGGCAGAUUUGUUUGAUGCAGGCAGGUAGUUGUGGGGCACAGCUGUGCCAGGGUCGUUUUUCUUUGUGGAUUCGUUACCCCUUGCCCUCUUUCUUGUUCCUGAUGCUAUGGAGGGUGGCUGGGGCUGGUUGGGGGAGGGGUGUGUGUAUGUUUCGCCUCCGUCAUUGACGUGCCUGCCCGAAUUGACGUGCCUGCCCUAAUUCUCAUGUUCCCAUCCACGUGCUGCACGUGCAGCAGGCCUCGGACGAUGGGGAUGACGUCC